AAUUCUCUGGCUAAAGUAGCGUUUCGUUUUAGCGGAAAGUAGCAUUUUUUAAUGCGAGAAUUU
RNAcentral lists this transfer RNA (63 nucleotides) under Perna perna. Its description in RNAcentral is "tRNA-Glu". Lineage: Eukaryota; Metazoa; Mollusca; Bivalvia; Mytilida; Mytilidae. The record is from RNAcentral.